Molecule: ribosomal RNA, 558 nt
Filed under: Salinivibrio proteolyticus
Lineage: Bacteria; Pseudomonadati; Pseudomonadota; Gammaproteobacteria; Vibrionales; Vibrionaceae
Description: bacterial SSU rRNA
Rfam family: Bacterial small subunit ribosomal RNA
Source: RNAcentral
UUACUGGACGUCGAGCGGCGGACGGGUGAGUAACGGCUGGGAACCUGCCCUGACGAGGGGGAUAACCGUUGGAAACGACGGCUAAUACCGCAUAAUGUCUACGGACCAAAGGUGGCCUCUACAUGUAAGCUAUCGCGUCGGGAUGGGCCCAGUUAGGAUUAGCUAGUUGGUAAGGUAACGGCUUACCAAGGCGACGAUCCUUAGCUGGUUUGAGAGGAUGAUCAGCCACACUGGGACUGAGACACGGCCCAGACUCCUACGGGAGGCAGCAGUGGGGAAUAUUGCACAAUGGGGGAGACCCUGAUGCAGCCAUGCCGCGUGUGUGAAGAAGGCCUUCGGGUUGUAAAGCACUUUCAGCAGUGAGGAAGGUAGUGUACUUAAUACGUGCAUUGCUUGACGUUAGCUGCAGAAGAAGCACCGGCUAACUCCGUGCCAGCAGCCGCGGUAAUACGGAGGGUGCGAGCGUUAAUCGGAAUUACUGGGCGUAAAGCGCAUGCAGGCGGUUUGUUAAGUCAGAUGUGAAAGCCCGGGGCUCAACCUCGGAACCGCAUUUGAAAC